RNAcentral lists this ribosomal RNA (393 nucleotides) under uncultured bacterium. Its description in RNAcentral is "bacterial SSU rRNA". It matches the Rfam family "Bacterial small subunit ribosomal RNA", at positions 37 to 433 of the family's 1533-position model. The record is from RNAcentral.
UGGCGGCAUGCUNUACACAUGCAAGUCGAACGGUAACNGGUCUUCGGAUGCUGACGAGUGGCGAACGGGUGAGUAAUACAUCGGAACGUGCCCGAUCGUGGGGGAUAACGCAGCGAAAGCUGUGCUAAUACCGCAUACGAUCUACGGAUGAAAGCGGGGGAUCGCAAGACCUCGCGCGGACGGAGCGGCCGAUGGCAGAUUAGGUAGUUGGUGGGAUAAAAGCUUACCAAGCCGACGAUCUGUAGCUGGUCUGAGAGGAUGAUCAGCCACACUGGGACUGAGACACGGCCCAGACUCCUACGGGAGGCAGCAGUGGGGAAUUUUGGACAAUGGGCGAAAGCCUGAUCCAGCCAUGCCGCGUGCGGGAGGGAAGGCCUUCGGGUUGUAAACCGC